Molecule: ribosomal RNA, 841 nt
Filed under: uncultured bacterium
Lineage: Bacteria
Description: bacterial SSU rRNA
Rfam family: Bacterial small subunit ribosomal RNA
Source: RNAcentral
AGAGUUUGAUCAUGGCUCAGAACGAACGCUGGCGGCGCGUUUUAAGCAUGCAAGUCGAAGGCUGAACUUUUCAGCAAUGAGGAGUUCGGACUGGCGAACGGGUGAGUAACACGUGAGAAUCUACCCAUAGAUGGGGGAUAGCUUGUGGAAACACAAGAUAAUACCGCAUGUGCCCCCUGUACUCAAUUAUUUCUUUCGUUAAGUUAAUUGAAAGAAAUAAUUGAGUACAGGGGAUAAAAGCAGCAAUUGUUGCGUCUGUGGAAGAGCUUGCGGUCCAUUAGCUAGUUGGUAGGGUAAAGGCCUACCAAGGCGACGAUGGAUAGCCGGCCUGAGAGGGUGUACGGUCACAUUGGGACUGAGACACGGCCCAGACUCCUACGGGAGGCAGCAGCUAAGAAUAUUCCGCAAUGGGAGCAAUCCUGACGGAGCGACGCCGCGUGGAAGAUGAAGGCAGAAAUGUUGUAAAUUCCUUUUAUACGGGAAGAAUACAGAUAGGAGUGGAAUGCUUAUCUGAUGACGGUACCGUAUGAAUAAGCCUCGGCUAACUACGUGCCAGCAGCCGCGGUAAUACGUAGGAGGCAAGCGUUGUUCGGAUUUACUGGGCGUAAAGGGCAUGUAGGCGGUUAUGCAAGUGUGGAUUUAAAGGCAGAAGCUCAACUUCUAGCAUGGUCUGCAAACUGCAUAGCUUGAGUGUAGGAGGGGGAACUGGAAUUCCGCGUGUAGGGGUGAAAUCUGUAGAGAUGCGGAAGAAUACCUGUGGCGAAGGCGAGUUCCUGGUCUAUAACUGACGCUGAAAUGCGAAAGUGUGGGUAGCGAACAGGAUUAGAUACCCUAGUAGUCC